This 86-nucleotide transfer RNA is filed under the name Entransia fimbriata. RNAcentral describes it as "tRNA-Ser". It matches the Rfam family "tRNA". Rfam says of the family: Transfer RNA (tRNA) molecules are approximately 80 nucleotides in length. Their secondary structure includes four short double-helical elements and three loops (D, anti-codon, and T loops). Lineage: Eukaryota; Viridiplantae; Streptophyta; Klebsormidiophyceae; Entransiales; Entransiaceae. The record is from RNAcentral.
GGAGAGAUGACAGAGUGGUUUAAUGUUCCGGUCUUGAAAACCGGUGUAGUUUUGAACUACCGAGGGUUCGAAUCCCUCUCUCUCCU